RNAcentral lists this ribosomal RNA (250 nucleotides) under uncultured bacterium. RNAcentral describes it as "partial 16S ribosomal RNA". It matches the Rfam family "Bacterial small subunit ribosomal RNA", at positions 524 to 773 of the family's 1533-position model. The record is from RNAcentral.
UACGAAGGGGGCUAGCGUUGUUCGGAAUUACUGGGCGUAAAGCGCACGUAGGCGGAUAUUUAAGUCAGGGGUGAAAUCCCGGGGCUCAACCCCGGAACUGCCUUUGAUACUGGGUAUCUUGAGUUCGAGAGAGGUGAGUGGAAUUCCGAGUGUAGAGGUGAAAUUCGUAGAUAUUCGGAGGAACACCAGUGGCGAAGGCGGCUCACUGGCUCGAUACUGACGCUGAGGUGCGAAAGCGUGGGGAGCAAAC